RNAcentral lists this unclassified non-coding RNA (335 nucleotides) under soil metagenome. RNAcentral describes it as "partial contains 5.8S ribosomal RNA, internal transcribed spacer 2, and large subunit ribosomal RNA". The stretch from base 1 to 120 matches the Rfam family "5.8S ribosomal RNA", at positions 35 to 154 of the family's 154-position model. The record is from RNAcentral.
GAUAAAGAACGCAGCGAAAUGCGAUAAGUAAUGUGAAUUGCAGAAUUCAGUGAAUCAUCGAAUCUUUGAACGCACAUUGCGCCCCUUGGUAUUCCGGGGGGCAUGCCUGUUCGAGCGUCAUUUCAACCCUCAAGCUCUGCUUGGUAUUGGGCUCCGUCCUCAGGGACGCGCCUCAAAGACCUCGGCGGUGGCGUCUUGCCUCAAGCGUAGUAGAAAACACCUCGCUUUGGAGUGCUGGGCGUCGCCCGCCGGACGAACCUUUGAAUUUUUCUCAAGGUUGACCUCGGAUCAGGUAGGGAUACCCGCUGAACUUAAGCAUAUCAAUAAGCGGAGGA